This 359-nucleotide long non-coding RNA is filed under the name Salvator merianae (Argentine black and white tegu). Its description in RNAcentral is "lncRNA (ENSSMRG00000019104.1)". The record is from RNAcentral. Lineage: Eukaryota; Metazoa; Chordata; Lepidosauria; Squamata; Teiidae.
AUGGGGGCUUGCAAGCAGAGUAUUGGUGUGGCCGCUUGGCUACGCAUGGUUGUGAGGAUUAUCGUGUUGCUCUAUGGCUGCAGACAGAAUAUUCUUUCUUUCGAGGAGGUGAUUUUCCAGAAAAGAUCUGCGAUUCAACAGGACUUCAGCAUCCUACUUACUGUGCAUUCAAGAGCCGUCAGUGUCUGGCAUACCACCUCAAUGGUGAGAAGGUGAUGAGACGUGGCUGCCUAAAAGAUAAGGCUUACAGAGUACUAAACAAGGAGGAAGGGGAAGAAGAAGUGCUGCUUUGGAGCCAGAAGUUCUUGACCUUUCCUGAGGGGUGAAUGAAUAAAAGAGCACCAAGGAGGACUGAGACA